Molecule: transfer RNA, 88 nt
Filed under: Spirochaeta sp.
Lineage: Bacteria; Pseudomonadati; Spirochaetota; Spirochaetia; Spirochaetales; Spirochaetaceae
Also listed under: 4 other names
Description: tRNA-Ser
Rfam family: tRNA
About the family: Transfer RNA (tRNA) molecules are approximately 80 nucleotides in length.
Source: RNAcentral
GGAGAGGUGGCCGAGUGGCUGAAGGCGCGCCCCUGCUAAGGGUGUAACGGGCAACCGUUCGAGGGUUCGAAUCCCUCCCUCUCCGCCA